CUUUAACUCCCUCUUGUCGAUCAUCCAACUAAUCGACGAUAUUUGGCAGGGUUGCAAGGUACUAGAAGCAUCGAUACACUAAAGGAGCCUUUUCAUACUAACGCUCAUUUUUAGCGUCAAAUAGAUCACGUGAUCAAAAGUGUCCAUUCAAACUUCACUAUUUUGCAUCAGCUUUUACGUCGAGCGUCUGUAUGAAAAGGCUCCUUAAGGCUGACUUAAGCUAUGAUUUAAUGUAGUAUACAUAUCCAUAUAUUUCUUUCACUCCCAUCAGAAUAAUUGAAAACAGAACGCGAGAAAAUCUAGAUAUCAAUAGUUCGCCGCUAACGUCUCCUACAUUUUCAUGUAGCGUGAAAUAUCCAGAUAUUGGAUUUGAGAUACAGAGUAUUGACAGUUAACCAAUGUUGCAUUUGUAGAUCUCUUUGGUACUUGGAAUGGAGAGCAAUAUAAAUUUGUGUGACGAGCAUUUAGCGGAAAUAUACGUAAUGCGGCCUUGCUCCAUUUCGAAACCUCGCGCUCACAUAUCCCAUCAACAUAUCCCAUAAUGGAAAAAUCGAACUAUCGGCGAUCAUAGUCAGAUAAGAAGAAAUAUUGGUGAAGGGGG
Long non-coding RNA from Pogonomyrmex barbatus (red harvester ant), 601 nucleotides. RefSeq lists it as uncharacterized. NCBI's taxonomy places the organism in Eukaryota, Metazoa, Arthropoda, Insecta, Hymenoptera, Formicidae. The record is from RefSeq and is a predicted model, not a curated record.